UCACUUUUUUCAAUGGAGAGGGGCGUUGGUACUUACCUGAUACGCCUGUUCUCGGUGAGCUGCGACGAGCAUCCAGAGAAUGGGAGGUGCUUAGUCUCUGCUUGGAUAGGCUGGGCUUAAUUGAAUAGGAUGCUGUUACUCCUCCCUGGCUCCACCCUAGCGUCCCCCAGUUUUGGCGAACACGAGGUGAUGCAACC
Molecule: non-coding RNA, 197 nt
Organism: Notechis scutatus (mainland tiger snake)
Lineage: Eukaryota; Metazoa; Chordata; Lepidosauria; Squamata; Elapidae
Source: RefSeq, a predicted model, not a curated record